Molecule: ribosomal RNA, 319 nt
Filed under: uncultured eukaryote
Lineage: Eukaryota
Description: partial 18S ribosomal RNA
Rfam family: Eukaryotic small subunit ribosomal RNA
Source: RNAcentral
CCCUUAGAUGUUCUGGGCUGCACGCGCGCUACACUGAUGCAUCCAACAAGUUUUUUCCUUGUUCGAGAGGACUAGGUAAUCUUAUGAGAAUGCAUCGUGAUGGGGAUAGAUUAUUGCAAUUAUUAAUCUUCAACGAGGAAUUCCUAGUGAGCGCGAGUCAUCAGCUCGUGCUGAUUACGUCCCUGCCCUUUGUACACACCGCCCGUCGCUGCAACUGAUUGGGUGACCUGGUGAACAUCUUGGACCGGCCCACUCAAUUUCGAGAGGACUGGAAAAGGCCGUAAAUCAGGUACAUCUAGAAAUUGCAAAAGUCGUAACA